UUAAAUUGCAAUUCUCAUUUGCUCUUUCAGCUCGCACCUUCACGGAGUACAGCAAUGUGGGGAAGCAAGUCGAGGACAGCCUCUCUCGAUUUCUGUCCCGGGGGCGCUAUGCUCUUCCAGGACCAAGCAAGAAACACAGUGCAGAGAGGCAAGGAGGUAAAAUAAAGGGAGUAAAACAAAAGGAACAGGGACCGGUUUCCGUGAACAUAACAGCCGAGAAAACAUCUGAGCAAGGUUCUUCUGUGCAUAUUUUUGAAUGUGCUGCAAGAAUAUUUCUGGUUAUAUGCCCACUUAAUUUAUAAUGUUUUUCUUC
Molecule: long non-coding RNA, 313 nt
Organism: Ixodes scapularis (black-legged tick)
Lineage: Eukaryota; Metazoa; Arthropoda; Arachnida; Ixodida; Ixodidae
Exons: 3
Source: RefSeq, a predicted model, not a curated record